UCUGUCCCGCCGCGCGGAUUCCCGAGGACACGUCCAGCCGAUGAGUUAGGUCGCCCGUUUUGGAUUCUCUCCCUGGCCUGGACACCCACUCUGCAGUCUUCGUCUACGUCCACGGCAGCCACCUCCCCGCAUCACUUUGAGUGCUCGCGACCCGGACUGUCCAGUGAAGCAGCCUCUGUCCCCGGGGUCCCAGCCUCUGGCGCCCGAGCCGUGCGGCUCCCCCGAGGCCUCCGACUGUGUCGCCGCAGGCAUCGGGCCUCGAAGCCGGCGUGAUCGCCUUUGGCCGGGUCAAGUCCUCACCAGUGGCUAGCGCCGGGAGGGCAGAGGCCGUGUCCAGCGGGUUCGCUGGCCUGACGCCAGACUGGCCGGGCACACACGUAGGUCGGUUGUGCAAGCGGCGGGUACAGAAGCAGAAAGCUUAUUGUUAGAGCGUUAUGUUCCCAUGGGCGAUAGCCGAGCAGUAAUGUUCCAGCCAGCACAGGUAUAUGAAUGAAGGUUGUUCCGUUUUAAUAGUUACAUGUUUAUUUUGAAUAAAAUGGCAAGCGAUGCUGA
Molecule: long non-coding RNA, 552 nt
Organism: Pteropus alecto (black flying fox)
Lineage: Eukaryota; Metazoa; Chordata; Mammalia; Chiroptera; Pteropodidae
Exons: 2
Source: RefSeq, a predicted model, not a curated record